RNAcentral lists this ribosomal RNA (482 nucleotides) under uncultured bacterium. RNAcentral's name for it is "bacterial SSU rRNA". It matches the Rfam family "Bacterial small subunit ribosomal RNA", at positions 29 to 506 of the family's 1533-position model. The record is from RNAcentral.
UUGAACGCUGGCGGCAUGCCUUACACAUGCAAGUCGAACGGCAGCACGGGGGCGACCCUGGUGGCGAGUGGCGAACGGGUGAGUAACGCAUCGGAACGUACCCGGAAGUGGGGGAUAACGUAGCGAAAGUUACGCUAAUACCGCAUAUUCUGUGAGCAGGAAAGAGGGGGAUCGCAAGACCUCUCGCUUCCGGAGCGGCCGAUGUCGGAUUAGCUAGUUGGCGGGGUAAAGGCCCACCAAGGCGACGAUCCGUAGCGGGUCUGAGAGGAUGAUCCGCCACACUGGGACUGAGACACGGCCCAGACUCCUACGGGAGGCAGCAGGGGGGAAUUUUGGACAAUGGGCGCAAGCCUGAUCCAGCCAUGCCGCGUGAGUGAAGAAGGCCUUCGGGUUGUAAAACUCUUUCGGCAGGAACGAAACGGUGAGCUCUAACAUAGCUUGCUAAUGACGGUACCUGAAGAAGAAGCACCGGCUAACUACGU